GCCCUAGUAACGGCGAGCGAAGCGGCAACAGCUCAAAUUUGAAAUCUGGCUAUUUUGUAGUCCGAGUUGUAAUUUGUAGAGGAUGCUUUUGGUGAGGUGCCUUCCGAGUUCCCUGGAACGGGACGCCAGAGAGGGUGAGAGCCCCGUACGGUUGGAUACCAAACCUUUGUAUAGCUCCUUCGACGAGUCGAGUAGUUUGGGAAUGCUGCUCUAAAUGGGAGGUAUAUCUCUUCUAAAGCUAAAUAUAGGCUAGAGACCGAUAGCGCACAAGUAGAGUGAUCGAAAGAUGAAAAGCACUUUGAAAAGAGAGUUAAACAGCACGUGAAAUUGUUGAAAGGGAAGCGCCUAUGACCAGACUUGUUUCUUUCAGUUUUGUUAGUUUUCGGACUGAUUUACUCUGUUAGUACAGGCCAGCAUCAGUUUGUUGUCAGGGAGAAAGGCUUAGGGAAUGUGGCUCUUUCGGGAGUGUUAUAGCCCUUUGCAUAAUACCUUUCGGCAGACUGAGGACCGCGCUUCGGCAAGGAUGCUGGCGUAAUGGUCAUCAGCGACCCGUCUUGAAACACGGACCAAGGAGUCAACCUUAUGUGCGAGUGUUUGGGUGUAAAACCCCAGCGCGUAAUGAACGUGAACGUAGGUGAGAGCUUCGGCGCAUCAUCGACCGAUUCUGAUGUUCUCGGAUGGAUUUGAGUAAGAGCACACAGGGUUGGACCCGAAAGAAGGUGAACUAUGCUUGUAUAGGGUGAAGCCAGAGGAAACUCUGGUGGAGGCUCGCAGCGGUUCUGACGUGCAAAUCGAUCGUCAAAUAUGAGCAUGGGGGCGAAAGACUAAUCGACCUCU
Molecule: ribosomal RNA, 837 nt
Filed under: Berkeleyomyces basicola
Lineage: Eukaryota; Fungi; Ascomycota; Sordariomycetes; Microascales; Ceratocystidaceae
Description: partial large subunit ribosomal RNA
Rfam family: Eukaryotic large subunit ribosomal RNA
Source: RNAcentral